Molecule: ribosomal RNA, 253 nt
Filed under: uncultured bacterium
Lineage: Bacteria
Description: partial 16S ribosomal RNA
Rfam family: Bacterial small subunit ribosomal RNA
Source: RNAcentral
UACGUAGGGUGCGAGCGUUGUCCGGAAUUAUUGGGCAUAAAGAGCGUGUAGGCGGCCAGGUAGGUCUGCUGUGAAAACUCGAGGCUCAACCUCGAGACGUCGGCGGAAACCAUCUGGCUAGAGUCCGGAAGAGGAGAGUGGAAUUCCUGGUGUAGCGGUGAAAUGCGCAGAUAUCAGGAAGAACACCCGUGGCGAAGGCGGCUCUCUGGGACGGUACUGUCGCUGAGACGCGAAAGCGUGGGGAGCGAACAGG